CGUGUUUGUCUGGUGAUCACCACUUUUAUAUGCUCAUUUUACAAAGUACAAGCCUAAAGACAUUGUAUUGUAAAAAAAGCAAGUAACGAAAACUAAGUUUCUCAAUGCCUCUGUUUGCAAGAAGACGGGUUCUGUGCUUUAGAGGACUGUUUUCUGCAAAGAGUUUUGGGGCUUCAUUCUCAAAGCUAUGUGCUCCACAUUGUCAUUGGCGCACUUUUUAUCUGAAAGGGGUGGGGGAAAAAAAAACACCCUUACAAUUCUGAAACAAACAAGAAACAACUUGACUACUUCCAAAUUGUUACGUUAAAAGUGUAAGUUGUUUUAUGUGUGGUUUGGCAGCGUUACUGUGUGCUCAUGCUGAAUUGGAGUACCUCGCUUUGAGAAUGUAGCUGUUUGUGGUUCGUGGUGGAUACUUGGGCUCGCUCUUAUGUGUUGUGUAAGUAACGCAGGCCUGGUUCAUGAGGGCCCUGUUGUAAAGAGUGUGUUUGAGGACCAGUAGGUGAGAGACCUGGUUUGCUACUUAUUUAAAUCGUACCUUCAGGUGUCAUUUUAAUUGUUUGGUCAUUUGGUUUGAUUCUAGGCUCUGUUGACUCAGUACUGACUUUGUAUCUUUUUUUCUCCCUAUAUCUGCUUUUACUUUUGAGCUAGAAAAUCCUGGCACUCAGCCACUUUCCUCCAUUCCAUUCAGAUCACACGACUGCGACUUUUCUGCUUUGUCUACUCCACUUAGUCUCUAUAAAUGUGAAGGUGGUGUGGCCGGCAGAGUUGAUGAUAACUGAACCCAGAACCGCUCGCAGUGAUUCCAAGCACUAUUAAGGGAAUUGUAACAAAGUGAUUCAGUGGACAUUUGAAGCCACUUUACUUCACCAGUGUGUGUCAGGACGUGGCUAACAGUUCAUGUCCUUUGUUUGUUUACUUUAGCUACUUAAGAGUCUUGUUGUGUGGCUGGGGUAAAUUCUGUAUAUGAAAGGGUUGGAAGUAAGACUCCCAUUGCAUAGCGGUCUUAUUACGCUCACACUGCUAUGCACUGGGAGUGCUUUUUUCUUCCCUGCUUUUAUGAGAGCAGUGAAUCGAGCACAAAUUAAGGAAGUCGCUUCAAAAGUCUCUUUCAUUGCUUUUUUACAGCCUUUCUCAGUGGUUCUUGGCUAUGUUGCUCCAUUUCAGUUGCUUUACAUUUUUUCUCAAUCUGCCUUUACCUGGCAUUGAAUUUACUUUCAAUUGGAGAAUCCUAAAUGAUGGGAGCUAAACAGUUCCAUUCAAAUCAUGUGACAGUAUGACCUUUCAACCCUGCCAGCGCUGCCUAACAGUAUAUACAGAGUGGGUGGGACUGGCAAAGGCUGCUUUAGAUGAUGAUGAUGAUGAUGACGUAACAGAACCCAGAAGCACUCAGAAUGCCUUCAAUCACGACAAGUAGGGAAGGAAAUAAGCAACUCAAAUGACAUUAGGAGCUGCUUACUCGUUGAAGUAUCUUUUUGAACUCUGUGUUAAAGUGCUUUGACUGAGUUCAGGAGCUGCUCUUCAGUUUUUUAACUUGCCAUAGGCAUAUAAUGUAGGUUGGAUCAGCCAAUGCAGGGCUGGCCAAAGCUGUGCCUUCCAGUCCUGGUCUUUGUUCCAACCCUGUUCUGAAUUGUUUACUUGAACCCAUUAAACCAGUGGUGCACAACUCGGUCCUGGAGGGCCGGUGACCCUGCAGGUUUUAUUCCAACUGCACCCUAAAGUACUUUAUCGGACCUUUAUUAGAAGCAUAAUUGGUCCAGUUAACUAAUUUAGGGUAUGAUUAGAACAAAAACCAGGAGCCCUCCAUGACCUGAGUUGUUAAACCACUGCAUUAAACCUCCAUCCAGACCCUGAACUAGUUCAUGAUCUCAUUGUACCUGUUAAACCUGGAGUGGCAUGGCCUUCCAGGAUCGUGAUUGGACAGCCCUGAGCUGAAGUGUCUUCGUUAGUAAGUGAUGGCAAGAGCACAGCAGUACAGCCAGCAUAGCUAAAGGAACCUGGUUUCCAAAGCUCUAGCCUGGGUUACAUACUGUGUGUGUGACAGACAACUAGAAUUGAAGAGCGCAGGAAAAAUAACCUUCGCGUUUCUGAGCUUUAUUAAAGCAGACCCUUGCUGUGCAAGAUUAGCUACAGUAAGAAAUGUAUAUGUUUGGUUAAAUUUAUUUGGAUAAAUGCACGUAUCCGAUGUGCGCUGGCCUCGAGUCUUGCAGAAGCGGUGGAUUUACUGUCUUUUAUAGCCACAGCCAAGCAGCAUUUUCAAACUGCUGUGUUGUAGUGCCAAGUUGUUUGUGUUUCGUUGCUGUGUUCAGAGCUUGCUCACUAGUCCUGGAAGUUGGAAUGAGUAUACGAGAUAAUAAUUUGCAUGGUAGGCUUGCACAAUUCAGGGCCUCCUGGUCUUUGUUCCACUGGUACCCUAAAUUACUGGACUGGAUCCAUUUAACCCCCAUUCCUCUGUAAUCAUUAUUAAACAAUGCUUGUAAAACCAGGAGGUGGGUGCUGUGGAGCACAUGGUAUCGCCCUAGGGAAGUCAGGUGAGGACCCAUUUCAUCAAGAUGAUGGAGGUGAAUGAGUGAAGUCAGGUGAGGACCCAUUUCAUCAAGAUGAUGGAGGUGAAAUGUGACUUGAAACAUGAUGCCUCCUGUAGCAACUCUAACAACAAAGAAAUGGCUUAUAAGAAAGAUUGAUCCUUGUGGACUGUCCUGGCGUUGAGGGUGAAAGUGCCUUUAUACCACAGGUGUGAAGAGUUCCAGCGCUCAGUAACUUAUCUGUGGUCAAUGUGACAGUGCAUUUUUUAUUUCAGUGACAGUGACCGGGUGAAUGGCGCUGUUUCAAAUGAUGCUGUGUUGCUAUACAGAAGCAGAUCUUGACCUGAGGCAAUGUAGUUCUGUAAAAUAGGGGAGCGGGAGCGCUUUGGUUAUUUCACCCCUUCAGGACUCGUUGAUAAUUCUGCUGUCCUGAAUUACCGAAGUGGAAGGACUUAUAUUCCCCUGAGUGGAAUACCUACAGUAUCCCAGGAAAGUGGAAGGAGUGUCCUGUUUAUAUGCCAUUGAAGUGCAGGAAUAUGUAUUCUGUGUCGUCUUUUCUUUUUGGCGCUUUGUUUUGCGUAGGAAUAUUACUUCCCUUAUGCUGGAAUCAGGAUCUUGUGGGACGUUUACCAGGGAGGUGAUUAACUGAUUGAUUGAUUUAUUUAUUUAUUUAUUGCCGCUAUUAGUUAACAUUAUUUGUACGCAGCAGGCGUGGGCAUUUCCCUGUCACUUCCGGUAAGGAAUGUAUAUUUUGUCAGUGGUAUGGCGUAACUUGGAACAGUGUGGCACCUGGAAUUUCUGUCCUUGAAUUCUAACGAAUACAAGAUAGAUUGCAAAAUGAGAGCUGUUUAUAAAAAAAAAAAAAACUUAUUGUGAACUGCUAUUCUUCCACGAGUAAGACUCCUGUUUAAAUGAGUACCAGUAAUCUGCAGGUACUCAAGAAUAUAGAAAUAGUUCUGAAAAUACAAUCCAAGCAGAGAGAUGUAAUGGUGCCGACGCUCGACUCACGGGUGGUUUUACACGACUAUCUUUUAAGAAGGAUACUCGCUGCAGCUUUAAGAAGCUUUCAGAGUUCACCUAUUUCUGAUAAAUCCAGGUUGCUUAUAUAUGAAUGAAUAUGUGUCAGUUCCAGUCCAUCUUAUCCUGUGUACAGAUGUCAUCCAGGGCACAAUUCUAUAACCCAUCCCAGCAAUGCCUUUUCUGUUUAACCACAGUUCCUGAGAGUGAUCUUCGUUUGUGUUUUUUCCAGUAAUGUAAUGCAUUGUGUAUAGGGAAGUCAUUUCACACAGAUUGAGCAGCCAGAACUCUCAACUUGACACUGACACUUGACAUCGCCGUCACUGUCCGAGACACCCAACACGCCACAUGUUGACUUGUAUUACACGCCAGAGGAACUGAUUGCCCCAUGCCUAUGGGAACUACAUGUCAGAAUAUACUACAGUAUACACAAUUAGGACACAGUGUGAUAACCCUAAUGGCAUACACUUGUUAUCUCAGCACGGCUCCAGUCUAUUGAAUUAAACUGCCACUGACUUGGACUUUCUGUUAGUGAAGUCAAUGGGGAUUGAAAGUGCUGGUGUCAUAGACCCUGAUUUAGCUGUAAGCUGGGACUGCCUCGUCUUUCCUUUAGUAAAGAUAGUCCAUGGUUAGGGUUAGACCCUGAUUUAGCUGUAAGCUGGGACUGCCUCGUCUUUCCUUUAGUGAAGGUAGUCCAGGGUUUGGGCAAACUGCAAUCUGUGAAACCAGCUGGAAUUGUUACAGUCAUGCAGCCUGAAUUCUAGAAUACAAAGCAAGCAAUAUACAAAUAUAAAGCAAUAUACAAUUAUAAAGCAAUAUACAGCAUAAAACACAUGAGGGACCCGUGACAUUGCUAAUGCUAAAGAAAAAGACUGGAAACCCCUGGUUAGAAUUCUUUUACUGUCUUUAGGAAAUUGACUGUACAGUAUGUAUACAUACUAUAUAUUGUUUUUAAAUGUUAAGUACACAUGGCAGUCUGAUGUUCCUUAACAAGUUUUCAACUUUACGAUGUAAGCUGUAAUCAAGCAGUACAACCUUGCAGAUUGCAAGCAGUGUGACAGAGUGUGGCUUCUUAAGUGCACUGUGGGAGCUUAAUGUAAUCACAACAGCAUCCAAAGUGUCAAUUACACCAGCCUUUACAUUAGUGCUACUCAACACUGGCCCUCGAGAUGGAUUCCAGUCCUGGUCUUUAUUCCAGCCAGGUCGUAAAUGUGUGAAAUGCCUCAUAGCAGCUUCAGUGAACUACAUUACCACCCGCUUGGAGUAAAACCCGGGACUGGAUUAGAUCUUGAGGAACAGAGCUGCGUACCACUGCUCUACACCAAGGUGGGCUUGUGCUGCCUGCUAAAUGUUCAUUGUUCGUUGCUGAUCAGUGCUCUAGUGAGCAGGUGCAAGGUCGAGUGGGCUUGUUACAAUUAUUCCCAUUGAUGUGGUGGUGAUAACCGUGUGCAUUUUGCUGUGCUAAUAGAAACUUUGAUAAGAUAUUAAACCUGCUGUCCUUGUAGAUCUCACCACAGGAGUCUUGAGUGUCCAGGUUUUUGUAAUGUGUUGUUCUUUGGGGUGGAUCUGUAUCUUAUUGAAAUACGUUGUCUGGUUCAUGUUAUUCAGCAUUGUUUUCUUUAGCGAAGUGGCAGUGACGCUGCCGUUCCGGAUUCUGUCCCGUCAGUGAGAUGAAGAUGAGGUUAAAAGCUCUGUAACUACAUGUGCAGAUGAGCCUGGCUCUCUUGCAGUGUUUGGGGUCAUUGGUUCACAUGCAGGUCAGCCUGGCUCUCUUGCAUUGUGGUUAAGAUGCUCUCUUGCAGUGUUUGGGGUCGUUGGUCCACAUGCAGGUGAGCCCGGCUCUCUUGCAGUGUUUGGGGUCGUUGGUUCACAUGCAGGUCAGCCUGGGUCUCUUGCAUUGUGGUUAAGAUGCUCUCUUGCAGUGUUUGGGGUCGUUGGUUCACAUGCAGGUGAGCCCGGCUCUCUUGCAGUGUUUGGGGUCGUUGGUUCACAUGCAGGUGAGUCUGGCUCUCUUGCAUUGUGGUUAAGAUGCUCUCUUGCAGUGUUUGGGGUCGUUGGUUCACAUGCAGGUGAGCCCGGCUCUCUUGCAGUGUUUGGAGUCGUUGGUUCACAUGCAGGUCAGCCUGGGUCUUUUGCAUUGUGGUUAAGAUGCUCUCUUGCAGUGUUUGGGGUCGUUGGUUCACAUGCAGGUGAGCCCGGCUCUCUUGCAGUGUUUGGGGUCGUUGGUUCACAUGCAGGUGAGUCUGGCUCUCUUGCAUUGUGGUUAAGAUGCUCUCUUGCAGUGUUUGGGGUCGUUGGUGCACAUGCAGGUGAGCCCGGCUCUCUUGCAGUGUUUGGGGUCGUUGGUUCACACCCAGCCUUCGCCCUGUUAUAGCGGCAUUCAAACACUUAGGAUUUUAACGUAUUCUAUGCUCUCUUACUUCCUAAUAGAUUACUGGACAUGUAGUAAUCAACCAUAAUCCAUGCAUUGAGUACAUUUGAGUGUUUCACAAGGGGAAUGUGACCAUGUGCCUGGGAGGGACUGAUUUGUGUUGAUAGUGUCUUUAGAUUUGUACGUACAAAGUUAGUUUGUCGCCUUGUCCUCUGCUGGAUAUGCUGUUUAGAAAUGCUGAUUCGUUGAAUUUGUGAAGUUUCUUUUUAGUAUGUGUGAAUUCAGCACCACUGGGUCUUUAAUAGUUUGGAUGAUGGAAUAUACUGUAGAAAGUUGCUGAUAAAGAAACCGCAAUGAGACCAAAACUUCUAGGGAAUGUUGCCAUGUUGCCUCUGCUUUGAAUUAAGUUACUAUAGCUCACAUUGCUUCCAAAGCUGUCCCAUUACAGCCAUUGAAGAGUGCAAGUUUCUUAACUUGCCUUGGCUAUCUUCUGAGUGUGAACGCCACCCCCACGAAGGGAAAACUGCAUUGUCUUUAGGCCUGUCCUUUGGGGGGAAAAAAAACAAACCUUUUGUUCAUUCUUGUCAAAAUUGCAGUCUCAGGGUUAUAGCACUCCUGUUUGGUUUUGUUCAAAACGAGCGAAUCCCUGCUAAUACCGCUCUUCUGUGCCUUUUCGUAUCUGGUACCAGACAUGUAUGUAAAACUCGACAGGACUAACAGCAAUGUGUGCGUGUGGAUACCGUCCUCACAGAAUACACUAAGACUGGCACAGUGGACCUCCAGCUCAGCACUGACAUCACAGGUUAUGUAUGCAAAACCAAGCGUCUUUCAUCCCAAACUCUACCCAGUAGUACGCAUUCACAUUGGAACCUGUCUUCACCCACCUCAUAACAGCUCAGAUGCCUGCAACUAAUGUGCGUUGUGCUUUUUUUAUUAUUUUUUUACAGUGAAACCUGUCUUGACAGUCACCAGAACUAAGGGGCCCCUCUGUUCUUACCAGCUUUAGAAACCCCAGAAAGGAUUUUUUUCUGUAACAGACAACUCGAAGACUCCAGUUUCCAGACCCAAUUGGUGACCAUUCUAUUCAGGUUUCACUGUACUUUGUCGCACUGAAGACACUCUACUGCCUGGCCACUUUAUUAGGACAUGAACCUACGACUGGGUCGGGCCCAUGUUUGCCCCGAUCAGAACCUUGAACCUUGACGUUAAUCCACUUGCUCAUUAAUAUUUCCCGCAAGUGUAGAAACAGGCUGAGCGUCAUUCAAAUUCAUCCCAAACUUGCUAAAUUUUAUAGUGAAAUCUGGGGAUUGUGGUGGCCAUAGAAAUGCCUAAAGUUAGCCGCUAACAUGCCAGUCUGGCACGGUGGAUGGGAACGUUAUUGUCUUGAGUGUUGCCAACGCAAUCAGUACAAGUACAGCAUUGUUGGGUGGUCUCAACCCACAACAAUGCUUCAGACCUACAGCAUUCGUAAUCGAGGCUCGCAGUGCACACUGCAGGGCUGCUGUGUCUGUUGUGUAGAAGAGGGUCCUGUCUUUUUCAAACCCUGCCCUCUGGUCACUGCUCUACCCAUCCCUCUCAAGGCUGAGAAGUGUUCACUGGAAGCACAUGCUGAUCAUCCCAAUACAACCCCCCCCCCCGCCCCCAAUAGCCCCCUUCACGCAGGGCAGGGGGCACAUUAAGACACAGCCUGGCACUUUUCUCCCUUUUGAACAGCAUCCUCAAUGAACUGGAGCUGCAAGAAAACCAAGGAUCUUUCUGCAAAACUAAAAUUCCGUUGCACACAACCCACCCUACAAGAUACACGCAAGGAGAUGAGAGCGGGAGAAAGAGUUUCUCUGAACAGUUUGGGAGGAAAACGGAUCUCUAACAUUUUAAAAGUUUUUACCUUCUUUGUAAUAAAGCUGAAAGGAUCACUGUAGCUACAAAGUCAUGGUGCGUGCUUGUGUCAAGUUUGCUGUCACUUUUCAGAUUUCUACUCUCCAUUACUGAAAAGCAUCCCUGUAAACAACACUGUCAAACCCAUCUUCAGCUGCAGACCCAAUACCAGAGUUGUACUGUAAGUGAACCCAGCUGAACCAUAAGGAGACCACAGCAACACCAGCAAAGACAUCCCAAUGGGUUCAGAACCAGUAUUACUGGGACCAGCUCGCUUGUGGGUCAUCCUACUGUGACACCAUUGAUAUGUUGAAAUAUGAGGCAUUUGUGGUUUCAUUCCUCCCAUAGCUUGUGCAAUUGUAGCCCCACACUUUCAUUCACCUUGAUUAGAGCAGUCCUGAAUUUUCAUUAAAGCAUUGUUACUGGGUGAGAGAUGGCCCUUAUAAAAAUGUCCCAUAGUGAAAGCACAUUAAAGAAUAGGUAUGGUAAAGCAUAUAAAAAAAAAAAAACUACAAAAAACAGUGUAAACCUUUAUAACCUACAGCAACUGCAUAGCAGAGCCCUGGUGCACAAAGUGCACAAUUCCUGUGGUAAACUGUUCUGAGGGGUGCAGUAAACAGAAAGCUCAUUAAUAACAUGCCUUGCAGGCUCUGUCAGCCUUCAUCCAUGCUGGUUCUCCUCACAGCUGCCUAGACUAUUGGACAGUGUCAGGGAAAGCAGAACUCCACAACCCCGAGCAUUCCUUUUCAACAUUCCUUGUGUGCAGUAACAUGGGUAGUUUGUGAUUGAAUGUUAUUUUAUUUUUUUUAAGUGAUGUUUUUUAUGUGUACUGUAAAAAGAGCUCUAUAACGUUCCCGAUGUGCACCUUCGUUUCUGUAUUCUGAAUAAAGUAUAUUUGGCUA
This is a long non-coding RNA of Polyodon spathula (Mississippi paddlefish), 8687 nucleotides long. RefSeq lists it as uncharacterized. Lineage: Eukaryota; Metazoa; Chordata; Actinopteri; Acipenseriformes; Polyodontidae. The record is from RefSeq and is a predicted model, not a curated record. The transcript is spliced from 2 exons.